CUCUCUCUCUCAACCUCUCUCUCUCUCUCUGUCUGUCCCUCUCUCCCUCUCUCUCUCUCUCUCUCUGUCUGUCCCUCUCUCUCUCUCUCUCUCUCUCUCUCAUCCUGGUAUUCAUGAGUCCCUCCAGCAGAUGCUCUCAGGCGCAUGAAUCCUGGCUCGGCGGUCCGGCGUAAUUUUCCGUGAGAAACGUUGGCGCGCGAUCCCGUCCGUGCUCCAGCACGCGGAACCCACCCGGGUGGCCUGGCAGGGGAGACGGGCGCAUGCCAAGCUGAGAGAGAACCAAAGCACACCCACAGAUCCCUCCCUCGGGCAGGUGCGGACGGCUGGCUUGUCAUCGUCAUUAGCAAGGAGAGGCUGCGGUGUUCCUUUGUGGCGAUGAAGAGGUUAAGUCCACCCAAAACCGUUCCCUCCUCUUCCAGCUCCUGCGCAGUUGUUUGUAACCAAGGCGACAGCAUCCAUGGAAACGCUGAUCCUCGUGUUUUAAAUAAUAAAG
This is a long non-coding RNA of Anguilla rostrata (American eel), 493 nucleotides long. RefSeq lists it as uncharacterized. The transcript is spliced from 3 exons. The record is from RefSeq and is a predicted model, not a curated record. NCBI's taxonomy places the organism in Eukaryota, Metazoa, Chordata, Actinopteri, Anguilliformes, Anguillidae.